UGAAAUGACCUUUCGGCUGCCUGGACACUGUGUGUCCUCCUGGAGUUCUCUGGAGGCGGGGAGAGAGUGGGGAGUGAGGAGACUGAGCACAAGUGCAAAGGGUGGAAAGGAGGACACAGGAGCCAGUAGAGCCCCAGCCCCUGCCUCAGCCUCAGCUUGCUCCCUCUUUCACCAAUUCCUGGCCGCAACAGUGUGGUAAAGGGAGUGCUCCUGCCCUCUGCUGAUCUGAAUUCAAGCCAUGGUGACCUUAGAACCAGGAUUCAAGGCAGGAUGUUGCAGCCAGCCAUCUAAGCAGAGAAGCCCAGAGAAUCCAGGGUACCUGGAACUCAAUCCCAAGAGGGGUUUGGACUUCGAACUUUGAACAGAGAAUGCGCUGGGCGGGGACUCAGCCAUAUUUGCAGAACAUUCCACACUGAAUCUGGAAAGCAAAGGGUUCCAGAGUCACGUGGGACUGGUGCCGCACAUGUCAUACAGGAGAAUGUCUGCAUUACCAGAUUCAUGUUUUCAAAUAUUUGUAGCUAUCUCAUGAGGUUGU
Trichosurus vulpecula (common brushtail) is the source of this 535-nucleotide long non-coding RNA. RefSeq lists it as uncharacterized. The record is from RefSeq and is a predicted model, not a curated record. The transcript has 3 exons. NCBI's taxonomy places the organism in Eukaryota, Metazoa, Chordata, Mammalia, Diprotodontia, Phalangeridae.